Molecule: non-coding RNA, 3483 nt
Organism: Camellia sinensis
Lineage: Eukaryota; Viridiplantae; Streptophyta; Magnoliopsida; Ericales; Theaceae
Source: RefSeq, a predicted model, not a curated record
CCACAACCUUAAGCACCUUAUGAACAAAAAGACGAAGAGGAGACUCAUGAUAGACGGCAAGGAGACUUCGAUGGCGAGGCGACGACGACGACAACUCCAUCAAGAUGGAGUGAUCCUCAACCUCUUCUUCUUCUCCUCUCUCUCUCUCUCUCCUCGCCACUGCCGUCGAAGAGAAAAUGCUUGAUUUUAUUUCCACAUACUGAUUUAAGUUGAUUUGUUUUCUGGGUUUCUUGUAUUCUUGUUGGCUUAGAUUGUUGUUUGUGAAAAACCCUGAGAAAUUAUCUAUAAUAACUGGGAAAAUGUGAUUUUUGAUUUGUUUAAUGGAAGGAAAACAAGAAAGAAGAGAACUAGGAUUUGGUUUCUGCUUUGCUAAUCUUUGUGUUAAGUUUCUCCUUUGCUAAUCUUUGGGUUGAAAUCUAGGUGGUUGACCAAACAAUCAUCUUAGUUUCUUCAUGGAAUGUGAAUUGGAAAACAUAUUUUGGAUAUGUUGAAGAACCCUCUUUUCUUAAUCGGAAUCACCGUUGCUGUCACGUUGUCGCCAUCGUUCCUUUGUCGUCCGAUCACCUGUCUCCUCUUCGUGUCCUUAUUGUGGUCUCUCAAACAAACAUUUGAGACCUUUGAGAGCAAACAAUAUAGGUGGAAAGAAACAAAGGGGAAAAAAAAGAAAGAAAAAAAAAUUUCGUCAUUUUGAUAGCACUGCAAAAACCACGACAGACAAACAUAACAGAGAAUUUGGACUCAUUUGUUUAUAUCUCAUUUGUUUAAGAAUGAAGGAAAUUAGGUUAGGAGGAAGAACAAGGCAUGUAGCUUAGGACUUCAUCUUUUUAAAGCAAUUUUUGAUGUUCUUGAUGUAUUUAGACCUUCAUCAUCCCAUAUUCCUUUGGUUUUCAUAAGUUUUGUGGCUUAAAUUCCUAUUUUAGAUGAAAGGAAAGAAAAGUUUUGGAAAAGAAUUCAAUUCUUCAAAUCCUUAGCAAAUCUUGAUAUUCAAUCUUUGAUUUUUGAAAAGAAACCAAGUUUUUGUGUUUUGAUUUGGAAAACAAUCAUAUUUUCAUGUUUAUCAGUGAUUUUACAUGUUUUAGAUUAAGUUGCAUAAGCCCUAGCUCAAGAAAAAUGAAAGAAGAACACUUAGAACUUAUUGAAUUUUCGGACUGCUCUGUUUUGCCUAGAACCGCACGUGCGGCGGGGGUUCCCACAUGUGUGGCCAGCUUCACCAGAAAGCAAAUUCAAUUAUGAAAAAAAGGCAUGUACCUUGCCCGGCCCGCACUUGCGCUGCCUAUCUCGCGUGUGCGGAAAUCCCCUGUUUUGCCUAUGCUUUUUUUUUUUGUAACCCUUUUUCACCUAAGACACUUCUUAUACCCAUUUGACGCUUAGAUAAGACUUGAGCUAGACCUAGAACAAUGCUAGAAUGCUUGAGAGGAUAUAAGAAAAACAUUUAACUAAGUUUAGACAACCGAUUUGUUAUGUGAAUGCAUGUAAGUUAGGAAUUUCAAUGCUUUGCUCUUUUUUGUAGGUUAAGCUUUGAAGAAGUUACACUCUUAUUCUCAGAGCCAUUUGUGACGAAGAGUUCAAUUACGAAGAGAAGUUUGAAUAGAAGAUGGUCUUGUAUGCUUGUACUAGUUUUGUAAAGCCUUGUCAUGUGUUAUAUUUUACUUUUGUCAUACGGAUAAUAAUGCAAAGAUAACAAUCCAAUAAGAACGUAUAUUUUCAUUAUGCACUGCGUUGAAUGGAUGUUUUAAAUAGACUCAAUAUAAGCAAGUAAUGGCUUCUGCACUUAGAAAUUGAAAAUUUGCCCCGAUUAUUCUAAGAGUCCAACUUGUUUGGUAAGCUAGGCCUUUGGUAGUCCACAACUACUGGCCGGUCAUCUCACCAUCCUGUUUGGGGCGGGUUAGGGUCAUGGUAGUUCCACUCUUAGGAGUGGAAUGGAAGUGCAUGAUUUUCUUGCAAGGUGUAUGGGUGUAAGUCCCCAAAGUGUUAAUUUAACAACUAACCACUGACUUUCGCUGAUCAAAAAAAAAAAAAAAAAAAGGAUUCUACCAUUGAUUUAAGUUGAUGGCAAACCCUUUGCAAGUCCAAUUAAUCAAUGGUUUGACAAACUCAUUUCUGUUGUCUAUGUGCUCCUUGUAUUCUUUCAUAUUGUUUCAUAACACCUUUAGAACUUUGUAGCUCCUUUUUCUAGUACUUAAUGUUACUACUCCUUUUUCUUUAAUAUUAUUAUGUUAUUGGGCUAUUUUUAUUCUAUCCCUUUUUUUUUUCCCUAAUAUAUCUGCAGGUUGUCUCUCCUGUUAAAAUGACAUUUGAAAUGUAAGAGAUCUAGUUUCACAUUUUAAGUGAUUAUUUCCUAGAUCUUUUUCAGUUUUCCAACUCUCCUUUCCUAUUUGUUCUUAAUUUUCUUUAUUAGGAAUCAGCAAUAAGAAAUUAGGGAAGGAAGAAGAGUUGGACGUUAAGGCUGAAAGAACAGCUGAAGCAAGUUAAUGUGGAAAAGUCUGAAAUGACCUCCAAAUAUGAAAAGCUUUCUGUUGGCCUUUGUUUUUCUUUUGCGUGUGUUCCCGCAUUUAUCGUAUCCAACAAUUGUUGGAAAUAUCUGUGUGGAGGUGUCCGUGUCGUGUCACGUGUCCUUUCCCAUCUCCAUAUCUGUGCUUCUUAUUCAUGUGUUCUUUGCAUUGCUUUAAUUUUCUCUACACACUCAUAGCUAUCUAUUAAAUUUUGAGGAACAGUAGUUGUCCAUAUUCUAUGUGAAGGUUGGCAUCGUGAGAUGCCAGUUUAAUAUGUGCUUGAAUUGUCUAAAAAUCAUGCACUUUUUAUUCUAGAGAUUUGAAGCCUUAAUUCCAAUUGAUUGGUUGAUGCCAUGAUGAUUUAAAUGUCAUAGUUUCUAAGCACUCAUCUCGUGGUUAUACUAUUUGCAGGUUGUAAGGGCAUUAAAAUUCUUCCAGGAGGGAAGAGAUUCUUUUUGUGAUCAGUGGGAGGCUGUUACAAAGAAAAACCCUCUGAUAGUAUUCAUUCACGCUGGACCUUUAAUUUAGUUUUAUCGUUCGUCUAAUUCACGCUUAUGCAGUGGGUAGAGACAUGGAAGAAGCAUUAGCUUUUGUGAGGAAAAUGAAAGACGAGGGCAUCGAAAUGAGUUUGGUGACUUCCAGUAUUCUUGUUGCGGGAUUUGCUAAAGUUGGCAAUGUUUGGCAAAAAUAAAUCUUGUAUAGUAUCCUAUAUUUUAAAAGCUAACAACACUCUGUUAAUCUCUCUCGAAUCUGCUUCCUGUAAUAAGUUCUGCUUUCAUUGGGGUUUACUAGAGCUACUUGCUUCUCAUUAUCUCACUCUAUUAUAAGAUUUACUUGUUCUUGUUGUUGGUGUAAUUGUUGUUUGUGUUUGUGUUUGUAUUGUAAAUCUCUAGAUGGUGUCCAUCUCAGAGUGAGUUUUAACCGAUAUUUUGAUCUGUGUUUGAUUUCUGACUUUUACUAGUUAAUGGAUUUGUGGAAGCAAUGAAUGUCC